AUUGAACGCUGGCGGCAUGCUUUACACAUGCAAGUCGAACGGUAACAGGCUUUCGGGUGCUGACGAGUGGCGGACGGGCGAGUAAUGCAUCGGAACGUGCCCAGCGCUGGGGGAUAACGCAGCGAAAGCUGUGCUAAUACCGCAUGUGAUCUGAGGAUGAAAGCGGGGGACCAGGCAGCAAUGUUUGGCCUCGCGCCUUUGGAGCGGCCGAUGUCGGAUUAGGUAGUUGGGGGGGUAAAGGCCUACCAAGCCGACGAUCGGUAGCUCGUCUGAGAGGACGGCCGCCCACACGAGGGGUGGGACACGGCCCAGGGUCCUGCGGGAGGCAGCAGUCGGGAAUGUUAGACAAUGGGCGCAAGCCUGAUCCAGCAAUGCCGCGUGCGAGAAGAAGGCCUUCGGGUUGUAAACCGCUUUUGUACGGAACGAAAAGGUUCUGGCUAAUACCUGGGGCUGAUGACGGUACCGGAAGAAGAAGCACCGGCUAACUACGUG
This 492-nucleotide ribosomal RNA is filed under the name uncultured bacterium. RNAcentral describes it as "partial 16S ribosomal RNA". It matches the Rfam family "Bacterial small subunit ribosomal RNA", at positions 28 to 507 of the family's 1533-position model. The record is from RNAcentral.